GACAGAGGAGCCAAGCGUUGUCCGGACUGACUGGGCGUAAAGCGCCCGCAGGCGGUCGCGUCAGUGCCGUGUGAAAGCCGGCGGCUUAACUGCCGGAGCCAUGGCAGACCGCGCGACUGGAGCGAUGCAGAGGUGGUGGAAUUGCCGGUGUAGUGGUGAAAUGCGUAGAGAUCGGCAGGAACACCAAGGGGGAACCCAGCCACCUGGCAUCGGCUGACGCUGAGGGCGACAGCGUGGGAGCGAACCGG
This 248-nucleotide ribosomal RNA is filed under the name uncultured bacterium. RNAcentral's name for it is "partial 16S ribosomal RNA". It matches the Rfam family "Bacterial small subunit ribosomal RNA", at positions 524 to 776 of the family's 1533-position model. The record is from RNAcentral.